GAUCAACAGUCCCAUCUCCGUCUGUCCUUAUAAGGAAGGUGUUCCAUCCCUUGGAUCACUUUUGUGGCCCUCUUCUGGAUGAACUCUGAUAGGUCCAUGUCUUUUCUGUACCGAGGACUACACAUGUGGACACAAUACUCCAGUACUGAACAGCAUGAAAAAGGGAAAGAAGGUCCUGGAAGAGAGUAGCAGCAGAGGUGAUUUUUUCCUGAUGUUGUUAAAGGGAGUUGAAGACAUGAAAGGGUGCUAGUAUGAUGAUGCUAUGACGAUUAGGAAAAAAAAAACCAAAACAAAAAAACAACCAACCAACAAACAAACAAACAAAACAUGC
Molecule: long non-coding RNA, 331 nt
Filed under: Gallus gallus (chicken)
Lineage: Eukaryota; Metazoa; Chordata; Aves; Galliformes; Phasianidae
Description: lncRNA (ENSGALG00010006929.1)
Source: RNAcentral